AUGACGAGUAUCCCUCCCAGCUCCCUGCGCCGCCGUCUGCCUCUGACGAUUCCGCACGCGUGUAGGCGACAGUGGAACAAAUUCAGACAUUCAAAGAUAUCCGUCCGUCAAAAUAUUCAGGAAGAUAUGGCCGAUAUAAGUGCUGAGUGUAUGGCUAAGUACGACGACAUUGUCAGCAGGAUGUUUGAUAGCGAGGAAGAGGGUUUUGAGUUCUAUAACAAGUAUGCUCUUGAGAAAGGCUUUAGUGUGAGGAAAGGAUAUGUUGAGUGGGAUGAAGCGAACGAGAAGAUAAUUCUGAGAAAACUUGUCUGUACUCGUGAAGGUUGCCAUGAAGAGAAGCACAUGAAGAGGAAGAGAGAAGAUAGGAAGAGGAAGCCACGGAAUAUCACUCGUGUGGGGUGUAAAGCGAAAUUUGUCAUUGCAAGAGUCGCGAAAACAGGGCAUUGGUUUGUGAAGGAUUUCAUCGAUGAACACAACCAUCCUUUGGCCCCACGAGACCUUGCUUGCUUUUUGCGUUCCCACAGAAGAAUCAGUGACGAGCAGAAAGCGGACAUUAUAGAGAUGCAAAGUGUUGGAAUCCGGAAACACAAAAUCAUGGAUGUGUUGUGCAUGCAGUCUGGUGGAUAUGACCAUGUUGGAUGCAUGUUGAGGGACAUCUAUAACUUCUGUCACCGCUACAAGCAGGAAAUAGUCGCUGCCGGUGAUGCUCAGACGGUGAUCCGUCACAUGAUGGCGCGGCAAGAGAGAGACCCAGAUUAUUUCUUCAAAUACUUGGUUGAUAAAGAUGGGCAUCUGAAGGGAUUGUUCUGGUCCGAUACUCAAUCCCGCCUUGACUACGAGGCUUUCGGCGAUGUUGUGGUUUUUGAUAGCACAUACAGGACCAAUAAGUAUAAUCUGUCGUUUGUUCCGUUUGUCGGGUUGAAUCACCACCGCAACACAGUUAUCUUUGGAUGCGGGAUAAUUUCUCAUGAAACUAACGAGGCGUACGAGUGGAUGUUGCGGACAUUUUCUGAAGCCAUGUCGCAGAAGCAUCCGAUAUCUGUAAUCACUGACGGGGACCUUGCAAUGCAAAGAGCGAUCAGGGUGGUGUGGCCUGACUCAUACCACAGGCUGUGCGUAUGCACAUUCAGCAGAACAUCGUACGCCAUCUGCAUGAUGAUGAGGUUAGGGAAGAAUUCAGAUCUUUCAUAUAUGACUCGUCUUCUAUUGAAGAGCAUGAGAGAAAAUGGAUAG
RNAcentral lists this ribosomal RNA (1233 nucleotides) under Triticum aestivum (bread wheat). RNAcentral's name for it is "partial small subunit ribosomal RNA". Lineage: Eukaryota; Viridiplantae; Streptophyta; Magnoliopsida; Poales; Poaceae. The record is from RNAcentral.